GACGAACGCUGGCGGCGUGCUUAACACAUGCAAGUCGAACGGACAGGCCCUGCUUUUGUGGGGUGCUCGAGUGGCGAACGGGGGAGUAACACGUGAGUAACCUGCCCUUGACUUUGGGAUAACAUCAGGAAACAGGGGCUCAUACCGGAUAGGAGCUCCUGCAGCGUGGUGGGGGAUGGAGAGUUUCGGCGGUUGUGGAUGGAUUAGCGGCUUCUCAGCUUGUUGGUGGGGUAGGGGCUUACCAGGGCUGCGACGGGUAGCCGGCCUGAGAGGGUGACCGGCCACAUUGGGACUGAGGGACGCCGCAGACGCGUACGGUAGGCAGCAGGGGGGAGCAUUGCACAAUGGGGGGAAGCCUGUGGCAGCAACCCUGCGUGCGUGAUGACGUCCUUCGGGUUGUAAACCGCUUUCGCCGGUGACGAAGCGUUAGUGACGGUAAUUGGUAAAGAAGCACCGGCUAACUACGUG
This 468-nucleotide ribosomal RNA is filed under the name uncultured bacterium. RNAcentral's name for it is "partial 16S ribosomal RNA". It matches the Rfam family "Bacterial small subunit ribosomal RNA", at positions 28 to 507 of the family's 1533-position model. The record is from RNAcentral.